RNAcentral lists this long non-coding RNA (470 nucleotides) under Capsella grandiflora. RNAcentral describes it as "long non-coding RNA (CGRA_LNC001464)". The record is from RNAcentral. Lineage: Eukaryota; Viridiplantae; Streptophyta; Magnoliopsida; Brassicales; Brassicaceae.
AAGAGUUCUUAUAGAAUAAUCGAUUUUACUUUUGGGACCUAAUGUGAAAAGAAUUGCAUAUCUGUUCUUCGAUCGAAGAUCUCUUUUCAUGUGUUUCGAGUGAGUUAAUUUUUAGUUAGCUCAUUUUUUUUUCUAAUUUCUUGUAUCAAACUGAUAUAUAAUACGACGACAAGACAAAAGAAGGAGGAAAAAUAAUUCAGAUAUAUUUAAAACUCCAUUAUGUUCCUUAAUGACUGACUUUAAAUGUUGUGUAUAAUAUGUUGUUAUUAUAUUCAGUCAAGAUUUUAUUAAAAUAUUUUAAAGUUUGAUGAUAUUAGUUAUUGAUUUGUAAAACUUUAUUUAAAAUCUUCAUUUAGAGAUUAUUGAAUUCUUUUUUCUAACUCUUGAUUUAUUAUUUAUUGCAAAUUAUGAGAAUUGUUAUAAUGAUGAUUCUACUACCGACAAUUCUGUCCGAUCCUAUUAGAUUCACC